GAUAAAACUGUCACGUGUCAUAAU
RNAcentral lists this non-coding RNA (24 nucleotides) under Arabidopsis thaliana (thale cress). Lineage: Eukaryota; Viridiplantae; Streptophyta; Magnoliopsida; Brassicales; Brassicaceae. The record is from RNAcentral.